Molecule: non-coding RNA, 126 nt
Filed under: Collimonas fungivorans
Lineage: Bacteria; Pseudomonadati; Pseudomonadota; Betaproteobacteria; Burkholderiales; Oxalobacteraceae
Also listed under: 1 other name
Description: ZTP sequence
Rfam family: ZMP/ZTP riboswitch aptamer (pfl RNA motif)
About the family: Previously known as pfl RNA. ZMP is also known as AICAR.
Source: RNAcentral
UUCGUCUCACGUGACUGGCGAAAAAACCGGACCGCGCGGAUUCAUAAGAUCGCGGCGGCUUCGGCAAAAGGUGGGCAUCCACCGGGAAGCGUGAGAUUUCAUCCGCCGUGCGCCUGGGCAGCCCUA